Molecule: long non-coding RNA, 1308 nt
Filed under: Rattus norvegicus (Norway rat)
Lineage: Eukaryota; Metazoa; Chordata; Mammalia; Rodentia; Muridae
Description: long non-coding RNA NONRATT033436
Source: RNAcentral
AAACAAGUUACAUAUAUGAGCAUAUCAGACAUACAUCUGUGUCAUUGCAAUGUAGUCCGAGACAGUUCUAUAUCAAAACAAAUACCAACUAGAAAAAAUAAAAAUAAUAUAAAGUAUAUAUUAACAUUAGCAAUAAAAUUCUCUCUCAUAAAUGAUACAUGAAUUGUUUCAUUCCUUCAAAUAGAACACAUGCAAUUGUACUCAUUCAUCUUAAUGAGGUAUGAACAAACUCAACCAAAAAAUAUUUUAUCAAAUGGCAUUGACUGCCAAGGACUGAUUAUCAGGCAAUCGAUCAGCAUUAUAACUCAUUAAAUGUCUGCAUUGGAACAGAUAUCGGACAGCAUGGGUAUUGAAUCUGUAUAAUUCCAUGCAUCAUUGGAUUUAACAUAAUUACACCUUCUCCAGAUAAAAGGAAUCAUAGGAAGAUUGAGGAGAUUUUGUAAACAUGACUUUCAUACAAUAGGAUAUGAACAGAGAAAAUGCUCAACUCCUGACUCAAUGUUGCCUGUGAGACUGUGCUUCCCUUCAAUAGAAAACGGAAGACAAAAUGUCCCAUGAUUCAACUCAAAGCCUGAAUGAUGUGGAUCAUUUAUAACUUCUCAACUCUAGUCUUACUAUAGAAGUUCUGUUGAAAUCUAUUGGGUUCACACAUAUGGCUGUUUACACGUGAUCUGGUUCAAGCUGUCCAAAAGAACAUUGCCCCUUGGAGGAUUUGUGUCAUGGCAGUUGUGGAUGGAGAACAUGAUCUUCAAAACAUGUUUUGGAAAUGUUUUGAUCAAAAGUUUUCAGACCUCAGAUGUAGAGCUUGAGGCCAGAAUUCUCCUAUUGUAUCCAGGGAGAACAUAGGAUGAAUGGAAAGGAGCUGAUGAAUAUAAUUAAGUGAAUCUCCAGACAGCAGAAGUCUUAAAAUAUACACAUAGGUGUAAAUGCGUGUGUGUUAUGUUUGUCUGAAUAAAAAACAGGUUUCAGAGCUGCUCCAGGCUAGAUCCUGGCAGACAGGAGGAAGCUGUGUGCUUUCACUGUUGCCUUUUGCUUCCUGUUGUUUUUUCUCAUCUUGUGCAGUUUGACUGAACCCAGUUGCUUUUGGAGGAUAAAGAAUAGUGAAGAUAAUGAUGGACAUUUGCAAAAUGACUGUGGUUUUAUCCUUUGUACAAUCGAGGGACCUAUUGAAGAAAAUUUUUAUAGUAAACUUCUUAAUUACAUUAAUUUUAGAAUACCAGCAAGAAAAUACGAGUUUUUUCUGGUUAUGAUUUUUGCUACUGAUGAGAUCAACAAGAAUCCUUAUCUUUUAUCCAACAUGUCUUUGCU